Long non-coding RNA from Pteropus alecto (black flying fox), 775 nucleotides. RefSeq lists it as uncharacterized. Lineage: Eukaryota; Metazoa; Chordata; Mammalia; Chiroptera; Pteropodidae. The record is from RefSeq and is a predicted model, not a curated record. The transcript is spliced from 2 exons.
CCUUCCCCUGGUUGUCCCCUCCUCUCGCCGGCACAGGAGCCCACCGCCGCCUCACCCAGCCGGCCCGGACCGCCAGCGCUUUGUGUACCGCAGUGAGGAGAGGGGCGGAGGGGGCGCUCACCAACCCCAAAGGCCGGGUGGUCUCGGAGGCCGGCGGGAGGUGAGACUGCCCCCGCCCCUUGGCCUCCUUUCCCCUCCUCCCGCGUUUGCGGCCCCCUCUGCGGCGCUCGGGGCGCAAAGGGAGCCGCCACUGGGCCGAGUCGGCAGUCAGCACAGCCGCCGGCGACCACCUAUUGUUUCUCGGUCCGGGAUCCAGAGGCGGCUGACGUUCAGGCCGGGGCUCGUGUCUUCUCACCUCCCCAUCCAACCUGCCCCUCCUGAGAAGGUCUAGGCAGGGUGUCUGCCCAGGGAGGAGAGCGGAUCGCUGCUGACGGAGGAACGGGGGUGUUGAGGUUGGCAUUAACUCAUGAGGCCUCUUUGCUCAAGCUGGCCUCAGAAGUGGGCAAGGGUUGUUUCCCGGCUUAAGAGGCGGUGGUUACGGCGGCUGCUCCUACGGAUAUUGCGCAAGACUGGGGCGUUGGAAACCCUGGAGGUCUGAGGAAUGGAAAAGGAAGUGGGACUUUGGGAAGUGGUUGCUCCUUAGCCUUGGCGGGAUUUGGGAAUGGGAAAUAAACUAGGAAAAAUUUUGCUCCUGGGCAAGCUACACCUCCAAGAAUAAUCAACCCGAAAUUCUCAAUUGUAAAAAUAACACACAGUAAAUGUAUACAAAAAUGAA